GGGUUGGAGGUGGAGCUCCUUGAAGUCCAAAGGAGGGUCUUGGUUGGGUGGAUUGAGCUGCUGGUUUAUGGAUUCCACUGCCCUAUUCCAUGUUUUUCUUUGCUAUAGUUGAUGACAAAGAUGGUGAAUGUUUUGGGAUAGGCUUGUGGUUUGCAUAACUCAGGAGCUGCAUCAACCCAGCCUGACCUUUAUUUGGAUUGAAGGGAGCUCUACAUCUGUUUACU
Molecule: non-coding RNA, 224 nt
Organism: Musa acuminata subsp. malaccensis (wild Malaysian banana)
Lineage: Eukaryota; Viridiplantae; Streptophyta; Magnoliopsida; Zingiberales; Musaceae
Source: Rfam